GAUGAAGAACGCAGCGAAAUGCGAUAAGUAAUGUGAAUUGCAGAAUUCAGUGAAUCAUCGAAUCUUUGAACGCACCUUGCGCCCUUUGGCCAUUCCGAAGGGCAUGCCUGUUUGAGUAUCAUGAACACCUCAACUCUUUAUGGUUUUCCAUGAUGAGCUUGGACUCUGGGGGUUUUGCUGGCUCACAGUCGGCUCCUCUAAAAUGAAUCAGCUUACCAGUGUUUGGUGGGUAUCAUGGGUGUGAUAACUAUCUACGCUUGUGGUUUUUCCACCAGGUAACCUUCAGCAGUGGAGGUUCGCUGGAGCUCAUAGAUGUCUCUCCUCAGUGAGAACAGCCCUUUGAAUGUUUGAUCUCAAAUCAGGUAGGACUACCCGCUGAACUUAAGCAUAUCAAUAAGCGGAGGA
This 405-nucleotide unclassified non-coding RNA is filed under the name soil metagenome. RNAcentral's name for it is "partial contains 5.8S ribosomal RNA, internal transcribed spacer 2, and large subunit ribosomal RNA". The stretch from base 1 to 121 matches the Rfam family "5.8S ribosomal RNA", at positions 35 to 154 of the family's 154-position model. The record is from RNAcentral.